This 24-nucleotide non-coding RNA is filed under the name Cricetulus griseus (Chinese hamster). Lineage: Eukaryota; Metazoa; Chordata; Mammalia; Rodentia; Cricetidae. The record is from RNAcentral.
CUCAGGGUCAGGGCCUGGCUGAGG